UGUAUAUAUACACAUAUAUACACAUGAAUAUAUACAUGCAUAUAUAUUGUUAUUGUACAUAUAUUCACACAAAUGUAUAUAUGAAUAUAUACAUAUAUACACACAAAUAUAUGUUUACAUAAAUGUAUGUGUACAUAUACUUUCAGAUCAAAAUCCUCUGGAUGACACAACUAUGCACUUUGUAGUUUUUACCAAAGAUGUAAGGAAAGAUUAGGCAAAUUCAGAGUAUUUUUAUCAUAUUAAUAUUGAACAUUAUUAUCCUGAAAUUUAAAGUCUACUUAGAGAUUUGAUAUUCUUACUGUUUCUGACUGAACAGAAUUUGAGUGAUUGUAUCCUGAAAUAUGAUCCCCGUAAGUCCCACUGCUUAACAAUUAAUAUGUUAAUGACUUGGAAAGUAUUAGGCACAAAUAUUAAAAUUCACCAAGUGAGAUACCUUUAUAUACAUUUCCUGAAAAUGUAAUCGUUGCUAAAACCUUGCCAAUUUCAGUUCCCAGUAUUUCCUUCUGCCUUUUAAAAUUCAAAUCCCAUUCUCCUCCAAACUCCUCACUUUAAAUGUGUAUUAACACAACCUAUUUAUUAUUAUCUUUUUUUUUUUUUUUUUUUUUGAAAAAGCAAAGUGUUACACCUCAGAUUUGAGCUAAGAUAUAAAUCACAGAGUAUUGUUUGGCCAUCUGUCAAAUACUAUGGUAUUUAACCUUCAAACUUUCCCAUCUUUAAGACACUUUCUAUUUUUAUCAGAAUAUUAAUCUCUGCCUUGCUAGCCACUUCUGCUUUCCCUUCAUAGUUAACUUUAAUUCAUGGCAGUCUUGUCAAAAUACUUCUAUUUCACCUUUUAGAGAAAUUCCAGCUGUUUUUUUUAAAGGUUUUCAUUUUUACUAAAUGAGCACACAAGUUAGUCAAAGAAGAAACAAAUCUAAAAAAUUGCUUUUCCUUUGUAAUAAAAAUUUUGCUUUGUAAACAAAAAUUCUUUAAUAUCUGAUAUUAAAUAGCAUAUAUCCCAGUUUUUAUUAGCAUAAUUAAAAUGAUACAUAAUGUACUGAAUAUACAUGCCUUCAAUAGGGCAUGAAUUUGACAUUUCCUUAUGGCUACAAAAUUACUCUGGAAAACUAUACCAAACAAAGCAUUUACAUGCAGUUGUCCAAUGGUCCUAUUUGCCAAAUAUUUAAAAUACAUUCCCUCAAAUAUUAGCACAGGUAAAUAAAGGACCUGCAAGAGUUUCACUAAAACUGUGACAUAUUUUAACAAGUAUUUGUACAUGUUAAAUCAAUACUUCAGAAAUAUUUUGUUUAAGUAUACAUUGCUAACCUUUUACAGCAGGAAAUAGACUGUACCUUUUUGCUCCAAUCAAUGUAUCCUUGUUUUAUUGCCUCUUGCUUACUAUCCUGUGAAGUGCCUUAGUUCAGAUUCUAUAGACAGUAUAUUAAGCAAACAUUUUUUUUUCAAUUGGAAGUUAGGAAGUCCAUGAUUAAGGGGGUAGCAAAUCCAGUGUCCAGUGAGAACCUUUCUCCUGCUUAUAACAUCUUCUUGAUGUUUCCCCAUAUGACAGAGAAAGAGACAGAAGCAGAGAUCAUCUUUCCUGUGUCCCUUCUUAGAAAGGCACUAAUACCAGUCAGGAGGACUGCACCUUUAUGCAUAAUUACCUGACACAUGCUUCAUCCCCAAAUACCAUCACAUUAGGGCUUAGACAUCAGCACACUUAUUUAAGUGAGUGGAGGCAUUGUGUUCAUGUUACGAUAUCAUUAUUAUGCUAUGAUAUUAUGCCAUUAUUAUGAAGUAUACCAUUAUUAUAUCUUCAAACUAGAAAACAUUGUGGCUAUAUAUUUCAAGAAUUUGACUCUCUAACUUCAGAAAUGCAACAAAACAAAGCAUUAAAUUCUCAAUUAUUUUAUUGAACUUCUCUUUCUAUGUUUUAUUUUACUUCUUAUCACAGGUCUUCCUCAUAUCUUGUCUAGACUAUAAUCUAGACUAGUCUGCCAUCCUACAGUCUGUCUGGUGGUCCAUACUUCCUGCCAUUUACUUUAUAUAAACAUCAUGAACAAAUUAUCUUUGUGAAGUGUAGUAUUGUUUAUAUUAUUUUGAAUAAACGUUUUUGAAGUAUAAUUUAUAUAAAUAAAAUGCCCACAUUUUAAUUGUGUAUUUUGAUGCUAUAGCAAUUUUAUGCACCUUUAAACCAUCACCACUAUUAAGAUAUUGAACAUUAAUAUCAUUCUAGAAAGUUCCUUCCUGCUUUGUUUCCAUUAGUUCUCUGUCAUAUACCAGCCUCAGGCGAAUGCUAAACUGAUGUCUAUAACUAUAACUUUUUUAUACUUUUCCUGAAAUUCCAUAUAAAAGAGAGUAUAGAGUAUGUACUUUUGUGGGCCUGGAUUCUUUUGUGUACUAUCAUAGUUUGUGUGUCAGGCUUGUUGCAUACAUCAUAACUGAAGGGUUAGUUUUUCUUCCUAAUAACGAGUUAUGUGCAUUGGGAUUGUUUUGGUUAGAAGCUAUGAUAAAUAAAGCAGCUAAAAACAUACCUGCCAUUGGUGUAUGUACGUUUUCAUUUAUAUGUAGGAAAUACCAAAAAUUUUUGACUUUUACAAGAAAGGUGAAAGUUCAUUUCCAAGUCAUUUUCUAAUAUGAAGCAAAUAACCUGAUUAACACUUGGUACUGUAAGUAUUUUCAAUUUUUGCCAUUCUGUUGAGUGUGAAAUGCAUCUCAUUGUGACUUAAAUUUUAAUCAGUUGUCUCAUGAGAUUAUUGGUCCCUUGUAUAUGUUAUUUUGUGAGUUAUGUUGAUGACUUUUGUCCAUUCAAGGACAAAAGCUUUUCAUUAAUUUGUAAUUACU
Molecule: long non-coding RNA, 2820 nt
Filed under: Marmota monax (woodchuck)
Lineage: Eukaryota; Metazoa; Chordata; Mammalia; Rodentia; Sciuridae
Source: RNAcentral